CCCUUAGAUGUUCUGGGCCGCACGCGCGCUACACUGAUGCAUUCAACAAGUCUAAAACCUGCUCUGAUAGGGGUGGGUAAUCUUUUGAAUGUGCAUCGUGAUUGGGAUAGAUGAUUGCAAUUUUUCAUCUUCAACGAGGAAUGCCUAGUAAACGCAAGUCAUCAGCUUGCAUUGAUUACGUCCCUGCCCUUUGUACACACCGCCCGUCGCUCCUACCGAUUGAAUGAUCCGAUGAAUAUCAUGGAUUGAGGAUGCAAGUAGGUUCGCCUAUCUUCAUCUUCGAGAAGUGAAGUAAAUCUUAUCAUUUAGAGGAAGGAGAAGUCGUAACA
RNAcentral lists this ribosomal RNA (329 nucleotides) under uncultured eukaryote. RNAcentral's name for it is "partial 18S ribosomal RNA". It matches the Rfam family "Eukaryotic small subunit ribosomal RNA", at positions 1470 to 1796 of the family's 1831-position model. The record is from RNAcentral.